AACGAACGCUGGCGGCAUGCCUAACACAUGCAAGUCGAACGAGACCUUCGGGUCUAGUGGCGCACGGGUGCGUAACGCGUGGGACCUGCCCUUAGGUUCGGAAUAACUCCCCGAAAGGGGUGCUAAUACCGGAUAAUGUCUUCGGACCAAAGAUUUAUCGCCUUUGGAUGGGCCCGCGUUGGAUUAGCUAGUUGGUAGGGUAAAAGCCUACCAAGGCGACGAUCCAUAGCUGGUCUGAGAGGAUGAUCAGCCACACUGGGACUGAGACACGGCCCAGACUCCUACGGGAGGCAGCAGUGGGGAAUAUUGGACAAUGGGCGAAAGCCUGAUCCAGCAAUGCCGCGUGAGUGAUGAAGGCCUUAGGGUUGUAAAGCUCUUUUACCCGGGAUGAUAAUGACAGUACCGGGAGAAUAAGCUCCGGCUAACUCCGUG
Molecule: ribosomal RNA, 432 nt
Filed under: uncultured bacterium
Lineage: Bacteria
Description: partial 16S ribosomal RNA
Rfam family: Bacterial small subunit ribosomal RNA
Source: RNAcentral